UUCCUUUUUACCUUCAAUGGCUCGGACCAGGUCCCAAGGAAUGAAUGAAACCAAUGACAUGGAAGAGCUCGACGACACUACUUUAUCGUCUCCUCGCCGCCCUAACGCUUUCCAUUUUGGUGGAGGAGAAUUGCUGCCUGAGGAGAGGAAAGGGUCGAACAGGAAGAGGAAGAGAAGUAAGAGAGUUGAACUGGAUGGAUAUGAAGCGGCUGAUGAAGAGAACGCUAAUGGAGAUUCUCUUCGACAAGACCCUCUGGAGGUCCUUGGUUGGGACUUGAUGAUGAAGAUUCUCAGCAAUCUCGACGCACGCAGCGUGGCACUAUCUCUCCUUGUCUCUCGCGGGUGGCAUCGCGUUGCUUCUAGCGAUCGUCUGUGGAGCUCUAAGUGUGAGGAAUUGUGGCUUGGAAAAGCACACAUUCCGCGCUUGUCACAGGUCCGGGGAAUAUCCAAGUUGGCUGCUUAUUCAUUAUCUGUUAUCGAUGGCAAACGAACUCGUAUCAUGAGGGAUGAUCUGUGUGAUCAUGUUUGGGAAUUCCAUUUUACAAAGUUGGCUCCGGAAUAUUGGAGAAAUCUUGAUCCCUAUUGGAAAGGCACUGGCCCUCCCAUGCACCGCUACUUUCAUCAAGAUGGAAGCCAAACUGCUGAUCCUGGUGAUAGGGUAUGGGGUGGUCAUGAAUGCUGUUUUUCAGUUGUAACUAGUUUUGUUGGUGACGGGACAAUCAGGGAGCACUAUGUUAGGAUAAACCGAUGGCCCAGAAUGUCUGUGUCUAGGAAACAGGACUGGAGCUGGGAAAUGUCCAAUCACCUCUUCUGCUACUCCAGUAUUCCUGAUGCGUCCAAGGAAGGGGGGACUGGGCCACUCUUUUUGGUUAUGUAAGUAUCUUUCUUCCACUUGUAUAUUUCUCAGUUUAGGAUGUUCUCUGUGCUCCUCACGUGUAUGAAGUAAUGGGGGAUUGUGCACUUGUUCUUGUGUAUAUCUUUGUAGAGGAUGUAGUUAUAACUAAUCAUGCUCAAGGUUUGUAACUUGUGCAUGCUUUAC
This 1039-nucleotide unclassified non-coding RNA is filed under the name Hevea brasiliensis (rubber tree). The record is from RNAcentral. Lineage: Eukaryota; Viridiplantae; Streptophyta; Magnoliopsida; Malpighiales; Euphorbiaceae.